UACAGAGGGUGCGAGCGUUAAUCGGAAUUACUGGGCGUAAAGCGCACGUAGGCGGCUUGGUAUGUCGGGGGUGAAAUCCCCGGGCUCAACCUGGGAACUGCAUCCGAAACUGCCUUGCUAGAGUAUGGGAGAGGGAAGUGGAAUUUCCGGUGUAGCGGUGAAAUGCGUAGAUAUCGGAAGGAACAUCAGUGGCGAAGGCGGCUCGCUGGGCCAUUCCUGACGCUGAGACGCGAAAGCUAGGGGAGCGAACAGG
This 253-nucleotide ribosomal RNA is filed under the name uncultured bacterium. RNAcentral's name for it is "partial 16S ribosomal RNA". It matches the Rfam family "Bacterial small subunit ribosomal RNA", at positions 524 to 776 of the family's 1533-position model. The record is from RNAcentral.